GACGAACGCUGGCGGCGUGCUUAACACAUGCAAGUCGAGCGGUAAGGCCCUUUUGGGGGUACACGAGCGGCGAACGGGUGAGUAACACGUGGGUGACCUGCCCUCAGCGUCUGGGAUAAGCCUGGGAAACUGGGUCUAAUACUGGAUAUGACCUUUCCUCGCAUGGGGGUUGGGUGGAAAGUUUUUCGGCUGGGGAUGGGCCCGCGGCCUAUCAGCUUGUUGGUGGGGUGAUGGCCUACCAAGGCGACGACGGGUAGCCGGCCUGAGAGGGCGACCGCCACACUGGGACUGAGACACGGCCCAGACUCCUACGGGAGGCAGCAGUGGGGAAUAUUGCGCAAUGGGCGGAAGCCUGACGCAGCG
RNAcentral lists this ribosomal RNA (363 nucleotides) under uncultured bacterium. RNAcentral's name for it is "bacterial SSU rRNA". It matches the Rfam family "Bacterial small subunit ribosomal RNA", at positions 28 to 393 of the family's 1533-position model. The record is from RNAcentral.